CCUACGGGUGGCAGCAGUGGGGAAUAUUGCACAAUGGGGGAAACCCUGAUGCAGCGACGCCGCGUGAGUGAAGAAGUAUUUCGGUAUGUAAAGCUCUAUCAGCAGGGAAGAUAAUGACGGUACCUGACUAAGAAGCCCCGGCUAACUACGUGCCAGCAGCCGCGGUAAUACGUAGGGGGCCAGCGUUAUCCGGAUUUACUGGGUGUAACGGGUGCGUAGGUGGCGGGGCAAGUCAGAUGGGAAAGCCCGGGGCACAACCCCGGUACUGCAUUUGAAACUGGCCAGCUGGAGUGCAGGAGAGGUAAGCGGAAUUCCUGGUGUAGCGGUGAAAUGCGGAGAUAUUAGGAGGAACACCAGUGGCGAAGGCGGCUUACUGGACUGUAACUGACACUGAGGCACGAAAGCGAGGGGAGCAAACAGGAUUAGAUACCCUAGUAGUC
Molecule: ribosomal RNA, 440 nt
Filed under: uncultured bacterium
Lineage: Bacteria
Description: partial 16S ribosomal RNA
Rfam family: Bacterial small subunit ribosomal RNA
Source: RNAcentral